UACGUAGGGGGCAAGCGUUGUCCGGAUUUAUUGGGCGUAAAGAGCUCGUAGGUGGUUUGGUAAGUCGGAUGUGAAAUCUCCAGGCUCAACCUGGAGGGGUCAUUCGAUACUGCCGUGACUAGAGGUCGGUAGGGGAGUGUGGAAUUCCUGGUGGAGCGGUGAAAUGCGCAGAUAUCAGGAGGAACACCCGUAGCGAAGGCGGCACUCUGGGCCGAUUCUGACACUGAGGAGCGAAAGCGUGGGGAGCGAACAGG
RNAcentral lists this ribosomal RNA (254 nucleotides) under uncultured bacterium. RNAcentral describes it as "partial 16S ribosomal RNA". It matches the Rfam family "Bacterial small subunit ribosomal RNA", at positions 524 to 776 of the family's 1533-position model. The record is from RNAcentral.